This 385-nucleotide ribosomal RNA is filed under the name uncultured archaeon. Its description in RNAcentral is "bacterial SSU rRNA". It matches the Rfam family "Archaeal small subunit ribosomal RNA", at positions 54 to 447 of the family's 1478-position model. The record is from RNAcentral.
CGAGUCAACGUAGAAUACGUGGCAUACGGCUCAGUAGCACGUAGUCAACAUGCCCAGGGGACGUGGAUAACCUCGGGAAACUGAGGAUAAACCGCGAUAGGCCAUGAUUUCUGGAAUGGUUCAUGGCCAAAAUCUAUAUGGCCCCUGGAUUGGACUGCGGCCGAUCAGGCUGUUGGUGAGGUAAUGGCCCACCAAACCUGUAACCGGUACGGGCUCUGAGAGGAGGAGCCCGGAGAUGGGCACUGAGACAAGGGCCCAGGCCCUAUGGGGCGCAGCAGGCGCGAAAUCUCUGCAAUAGGCGAAAGCUUGACAGGGUUACUCUGAGUGGUUCCCGUUAAGGGGAUCUUUUGGCACCUUUAAAAAUGGUGCAGAAUAAGGGGUGGGC